UACAGAGGUCUCAAGCGUUGUUCGGAUUCAUUGGGCGUAAAGGGUGCGUAGGCGGCGCGGUAAGUCGGGUGUGAAAUCUCGGAGCUUAACUCCGAAACUGCAUUCGAUACUGCCGUGCUUGAGGACUGGAGAGGAGACUGGAAUUUACGGUGUAGCGGUGAAAUGCGUAGAUAUCGAGAGGAACACCUGCGCGAAGGCAGCUUACUGGGCGUGUAACUGACGCUGAUGCACGAAAGUGUGGGGAUCAAACAGG
RNAcentral lists this ribosomal RNA (253 nucleotides) under uncultured bacterium. Its description in RNAcentral is "partial 16S ribosomal RNA". It matches the Rfam family "Bacterial small subunit ribosomal RNA", at positions 524 to 776 of the family's 1533-position model. The record is from RNAcentral.